AGUGAACGCUGGCGGCGUGCCUAAUACAUGCAAGUCGAACGGAGUGGCGCACGGGUGAGUAAUGUAUAGCUAAUCUGCCCUACACUAGAGGACAACAGCUGGAAACGACUGCUAAUACUCUAUAGUGUAGGUUGAGGCUAUAUUGUAUCAGCUAGUUGGUGAGGUAAUGGCUCACCAAGGCUAUGACGCAUAACUGGUCUGAGAGGAUGAUCAGUCACACUGGACCGGAGACACGGUUCGGGCACAUACGGGAAGGAGCAGUAGGGAGUAUUACUCAAUGGGGGUAGCCCUGAAGCGGCAACGCGGCGUGGAGGAUGACAAUUUUCGGAGCGUAAACUCCUUUUGAUAGGGAAGCGGUACCUGACGAAUAAGCACCGGCUAACUCCGUGCCAGCAGCCGCGGUAAUAC
This 408-nucleotide ribosomal RNA is filed under the name uncultured bacterium. RNAcentral's name for it is "partial 16S ribosomal RNA". It matches the Rfam family "Bacterial small subunit ribosomal RNA", at positions 29 to 526 of the family's 1533-position model. The record is from RNAcentral.